RNAcentral lists this ribosomal RNA (638 nucleotides) under uncultured bacterium. RNAcentral's name for it is "bacterial SSU rRNA". It matches the Rfam family "Bacterial small subunit ribosomal RNA", at positions 607 to 1244 of the family's 1533-position model. The record is from RNAcentral.
GCUUAACCGGAGAAGUGCAUCGGAAACCGGGAGGCUUGAGUGCAGAAGAGGACAGUGGAACUCCAUGUGUAGCGGUGAAAUGCGUAGAUAUGUGGAAGAACACCAGUGGCGAAGGCGGCUGUCUGGUCUGUAACUGACGCUGAGGCUCGAAAGCAUGGGUAGCGAACAGGAUUAGAUACCCUGGUAGUCCAUGCCGUAAACGAUGAGUGCUAAGUGUUGGAGGGUUUCCGCCCUUCAGUGCUGCAGCUAACGCAUUAAGCACUCCGCCUGGGGAGUACGACCGCAAGGUUGAAACUCAAAGGAAUUGACGGGGGCCCGCACAAGCGGUGGAGCAUGUGGUUUAAUUCGAUGCUACGCGAAGAACCUUACCAGGUCUUGACAUCUUCUGCCAACCUAAGAGAUUAGGCGUUCCCUUCGGGGACAGAAUGACAGGUGGUGCAUGGUUGUCGUCAGCUCGUGUCGUGAGAUGUUGGGUUAAGUCCCGCAACGAGCGCAACCCUUAUUGUUAGUUGCCAGCAUUCAGUUGGGCACUCUAGCAAGACUGCCGGUGACAAACCGGAGGAAGGUGGGGAUGACGUCAAGUCAUCAUGCCCCUUAUGACCUGGGGCUACACACGUGCUACAAUGGGCAGUACAACG